UUGACCUCAAAUCAGGUAGGACUACCCGCUGAACUUAAGCAUAUCAAUAAGCGGAGGAAAAGAAACUAACAAGGAUUCCCCUAGUAACUGCGAGUGAAGCGGGAAAAGCUCAAAUUUAAAAUCUGGCGGUUCUUGUAGCCGUCCGAGUUGUAAUUUAGAGAAGUGUUAUCCGCGCUGGACCGUGUACAAGUCUCCUGGAAUGGAGCGUCAUAGAGGGUGAGAAUCCCGUCUUUGACACGGACUGCCAGGGCAUUGUGAUGCGCUCUCAAAGAGUCGAGUUGUUUGGGAAUGCAGCUCAAAAUGGGUGGUAAAUUCCAUCUAAAGCUAAAUAUUGAGGAGAGACCGAUAGCGAACAAGUACCGUGAGGGAAAGAUGAAAAGAACUUUGGAAAGAGAGUUAAACAGUACGUGAAAUUGCUGAAAGGGAAACGCUUGAAGUCAGUCGCGUUGUUCAGGACUCAGCCUUGCUUUGCUUGGUGUACUUCCUGUUCGACGGGUCAGCAUCAAUUUUGGUCGGUGGAUAAAGGCUUGGAGAAUGUGGCAUCUUCGGGUGUGUUAUAGCUCUGGGUCGCAUACAUCGGCUGGGAUUGAGGAACUCAGCACG
This 603-nucleotide ribosomal RNA is filed under the name Mycena rubromarginata. RNAcentral's name for it is "eukaryotic LSU rRNA". It matches the Rfam family "Eukaryotic large subunit ribosomal RNA", at positions 1 to 602 of the family's 3401-position model. The record is from RNAcentral. Lineage: Eukaryota; Fungi; Basidiomycota; Agaricomycetes; Agaricales; Mycenaceae.